CACUUAAACCGCCAGGAAAUUACGAGCCCAAGCUUAAAACCCAAAGGACUUGACGGUGCCUCACCUACCUAGAGGAGCCUGUUCUAUAAUCGAUUCUCCCCGAUCCACCUCACCGCUUCUUGAACAUCAGCCUGUAUACCUCCGUCGCAAGCCUACCAUGUGAACGCACGCAGUGGGCCCCAAGAUCUAUACAUCCACACGUCAGGUCAAGGCGCAGCCUACGAAGCGGGAAGAAAUGGGCUACAAUCUCUACCCUAGAACAAACAGAGGACUACAUGCAACAUAGUCACCAAGGCGGAUUUAGCAGUAAAAAGAAAAUAGAGAGUUCUUUUUAACCAAGCCCUGAGGCGCGUACACACCGCCCGUCACCCUCUUCAAAUGACAAAACAACGUUAUUAACACUUUCUCGUCCCACAGAAGAGGCAAGUCGUAACACGGUAAGCGUACUGGAAAGUGCGCUUGGAAUAACAAAAUAUAGCUUAACAAAAGUACCUUGCUUACACCGAGGAUAUGUCUGUAAAAACCAGACUAUUUUGAGCCAAAAACCUAGCCCUAAUAACCCAAAUGUUACAACCAACCAAAAAAGACAUAAUAAAACAUUUUCUUAACUAAGUAAAGGCGAUUAAAAAGUUAAUAGGAGCAUUAAUGCAAGUACCGCAAGGGAAAGAUGAAAUAAAAAUGAAAUAAUUUUAAGCCCAAU
This 700-nucleotide ribosomal RNA is filed under the name Copiula derongo. RNAcentral's name for it is "partial 12S ribosomal RNA". The stretch from base 1 to 475 matches the Rfam family "Bacterial small subunit ribosomal RNA", at positions 861 to 1533 of the family's 1533-position model. The record is from RNAcentral. Lineage: Eukaryota; Metazoa; Chordata; Amphibia; Anura; Microhylidae.